UGCGCAUUCAUGUGAGAUGAGACCUUGUAUUCCAAACGUUUUUCAAGACACAGGAAAGGUCCGGUUGAAAUAUUACUGAUGUUUCACGUUAAAAAUGGCCCUAAAGAUUGAUGCAAAACAACGUUUGACAUGUUUGAAGGAACGUAAAUAGAUUUAUUUUUUUACUUUUCGUCGUAACUUUUCCCUCCCGCGCCCUACAUUUUGAGUAGCCUACUGAACACGCUAACAACACGGAACAACAUGGAGUUAUUUGGACAUAAAUUAUGAACUUCAUCGGAAAAAAAAACAUUUGUUGUGGACCUGGGAUUCCUGGAAGUGCCUUCUGAUGAAGAUUAUUAAAGUUCCCCAGGAUCCAACUGGAUCCUACCAUGCAGGCCUUGCAGUCCCACACUGAGAGACUGGAUUCUGGAGAAAAAGUGUGUGAAAAAGACCUGAGCCCUAGGACCAUGCCUCAGGACUACCUCACCUGAUGACUCCUUGCUGUCCCCAGUCCACCUGGCCGUGCUGCUGCUCCAGUUUCAACUGUUCUGCCUGCGGCUAUGGAACCCUGACCUGUUCACCGGACGUGCUACCUGUCAAAGACCUGCUGUUUUCAACUCUCUAGAGACAGCAGGAGCAGUAGAGAUACUCUGAAUGAUCGGCUAUGAAAAGCCAACUGACAUUUACUCCUGAGGUGCUGACCUGUUGCACCCUCGACAACCACUGUGAUUAUUAUUAUUUGACCCUGUUGCUCAUCUAUGAACAUUUGAACAUCUUGGCCAUUUUCUGUUAUAAUCUCCACCCGGCACAGCCAGAAGAGGACUGGCCACCCCUCAUAGCCUGGUUCCUCUCUAGGUUACUUCCUAGGUUCUGGCCUUUCUAGGGAGUUUUUCCUAGCCACCGUGCUUCUACACCUGCAUUGCUUGCUGUUUGGGGUUUUAGGCUGUGUUUCUGUACAGCACUUUGAGAUAUCAGCAGAUGUAAGAAGGGC
This 970-nucleotide long non-coding RNA is filed under the name Salmo salar (Atlantic salmon). Its description in RNAcentral is "lncRNA (ENSSSAG00000118057.1)". Lineage: Eukaryota; Metazoa; Chordata; Actinopteri; Salmoniformes; Salmonidae. The record is from RNAcentral.